GAUGAACGCUAGCGGGAGGCCUAACACAUGCAAGCCGAGCGGUAGAGUUUCUUCGGAAACUUGAGAGCGGCGCACGGGUGCGUAACACGUGUGCAACCUACCUUUAUCUGGGGGAUAGCCUUUCGAAAGGAAGAUUAAUACCCCAUAAUAUAAUGAUUGGCAUCAAUUAUUAUUGAAAACUCCGGUGGAUAGAGAUGGGCACGCGCAAGAUUAGAUAGUUGGUGAGGUAACGGCUCACCAAGUCAAUGAUCUUUAGGGGUCCUGAGAGGGAGAUCCCCCACACUGGUACUGAGACACGGACCAGACUCCUACGGGAGGCAGCAGUGAGGAAUAUUGGACAAUGGGUGAGAGCCUGAUCCAGCCAUCCCGCGUGAAGGAUGACGGUCCUAUGGAUUGUAAACUUCUUUUGUACAGGGAUAAACCUACCCUCGUGAGGGUAGCUGAAGGUACUGGACGAAUAAGCACCGGCUAACUCCGUG
RNAcentral lists this ribosomal RNA (479 nucleotides) under uncultured bacterium. RNAcentral's name for it is "partial 16S ribosomal RNA". It matches the Rfam family "Bacterial small subunit ribosomal RNA", at positions 28 to 507 of the family's 1533-position model. The record is from RNAcentral.